UUGUAAUGAAUGACCAUAUUCGUAAGCAGUGAAGGAAAAGUACAUCACUACACGCUUUUCGGAACUUUACACCCGGCGGAAAAAAACCGGAAACGAGCAAUAUUUCCGGCACCGACAAAGUUGUUCCGUUGCUAGCGUCGGCAAAAUUACUCCGUUGCCGGCACCGGCAGGCUAAACUGUAUUUAUUGAAAAUAAACCUUUGGCUAAAAGGCCUAAAAAGAAUUAACAAAUAAAGAAGACAAUUGUUUAACAAUUAAUCAAAAUUAGAGUGAAGAGACUUUUCAGAGUUGAAGGGAAGUCCUGGAAGAAGAUUGAGUACAGAAAACUUUGAUGAAAUGUCGGCUACGACAAAGAGACGCAGAUUGAUAACCAUGGAAGAAACUUAUUCGGCAAUCGAUAUUCAAGAAGCAUUUCUCCGAAUAUUAAGAACGACUGGAAACACAAAAAUUUAACAGUGCAGUUAAUGAAGUAGAAUGCUGCUCUCCAGCAGAAGCUUUAACUUUAAUGGAAGAUGCCAAGUUAUCCAAGUAUCAAUACAAUAACAUUUAAUUUCGGGUACCAGUGAUCCCAGAUCUAAAACGAGAUGUGGUCCAAUACU
Molecule: long non-coding RNA, 598 nt
Organism: Belonocnema kinseyi
Lineage: Eukaryota; Metazoa; Arthropoda; Insecta; Hymenoptera; Cynipidae
Exons: 3
Source: RefSeq, a predicted model, not a curated record